GACGAACGCUGGCGGCGUGCUUAACACAUGCAAGUCGAACGGAAAGGCCCUGCUUUUGUGGGGUGCUCGAGUGGCGAACGGGUGAGUAACACGUGAGUAACCUGCCCUUGACUUUGGGAUAACUUCAGGAAACUGGGGCUAAUACCGGAUAGGAUCUCCUGCUGCAUGGUGGGGGUUGGAAAGUUUCGGCGGUUGGGGAUGGACUCGCGGCUUAUCAGCUUGUUGGUGGGGUAGUGGCUUACCAAGGCUUUGACGGGUAGCCGGCCUGAGAGGGUGACCGGCCACAUUGGGACUGAGAUACGGCACAGACUCCUACGGGAGGCAGCAGUGGGGAAUAUUGCACAAUGGGCGGAAGCCUGAUGCAGAAACGCCGCGUGCGGGAUGACGGCCUUCGGGUUGUAAACCGCUUUCGCCUGUGACGAAGCGUGAGUGACGGUAAUGGGUAAAGAAGCACCGGCUAACUACGUG
RNAcentral lists this ribosomal RNA (468 nucleotides) under uncultured bacterium. Its description in RNAcentral is "partial 16S ribosomal RNA". It matches the Rfam family "Bacterial small subunit ribosomal RNA", at positions 28 to 507 of the family's 1533-position model. The record is from RNAcentral.